This 252-nucleotide ribosomal RNA is filed under the name uncultured bacterium. Its description in RNAcentral is "partial 16S ribosomal RNA". It matches the Rfam family "Bacterial small subunit ribosomal RNA", at positions 524 to 776 of the family's 1533-position model. The record is from RNAcentral.
UACGAAGGGGGCUAGCGUUGCUCGGAAUACUGGGCGUAAAGCGCACGUAGGCGGAUUGUUAAGUCAGGGGUGAAAUCCUGGAGCUCAACUCCAGAACUGCCUUUGAUACUGGCGAUCUUGAGUUCGGGAGAGGUGAGUGGAACUGCGAGUGUAGAGGUGAAAUUCGUAGAUAUUCGCAAGAACACCAGUGGCGAAGGCGGCUCACUGGCCCGAUACUGACGCUGAGGCACGAAAGCGUGGGGAGCAAACAGG